This 523-nucleotide ribosomal RNA is filed under the name uncultured bacterium. Its description in RNAcentral is "bacterial SSU rRNA". It matches the Rfam family "Bacterial small subunit ribosomal RNA", at positions 28 to 523 of the family's 1533-position model. The record is from RNAcentral.
GAUGAACGCUAGCGACAGGCUUAACACAUGCAAGUCGAGGGGCGAGCGGAGAGGAAAGACUUGCUUUUCUUCUGCCGGCGACCGGCGCACGGGUGAGUAAACACGUAUGCAACCUACCCCUGGCAGGGGGAUAACCCGGAGAAAUCCGGACUAAUACCGCGUAACACCGCGGGGAGACAUCUCCCGGCGGUCAAAGGAAGCGAUUCCGGCCAGGGAUGGGCAUGCGGCGCAUUAGGCAGUUGGCGGGGUAACGGCCCACCAAACCGACGAUGCGUAGGGGUUCUGAGAGGAAGGUCCCCCACACUGGUACUGAGACACGGACCAGACUCCUACGGGAGGCAGCAGUGAGGAAUAUUGGUCAAUGGGCGCAAGCCUGAACCAGCCAAAGUCGCGUGAGGGAAGACGGUCCUAUGGAAUUGUAAACCUCUUUUGUCAGGGAGCAAGCGCGGGACGCGUCCCCGUAGCUGAGAGUACCUGAAGAAAAAGCAUCGGCUAAACUCCGUGCCAGCAGCCGCCGCUGUAA